UUUUAAAAGCCUCCCCAAUAUAUUUUAUAUGUGACAUUUUCAUAAACCCCACGGACUAACAAUAAACCCCAGCGUUAAUUACUACAUAACUAAAACUCUUUCAAAAUCCAAUAGUCACUCGAAGAGAGGGAACCGAAGAGUGAGAGGGAACCGAAACCCUAAGCUCGUGAUAGACAUCUCCACCGCCAUUUUCGUCGCCGCCUCCGCCGCCGCCUCCGCCGCCAUUGCUGCCAUCGCUGCUGCUAGAGUUCAUCUCUUUUCUGCUUCUACCAUAAAGCUAUUGAGAUCGAGCCAAGGCGCCUCCUUCAUCAACGCGUUUCCAGACCUAAUCGCAACAUCCAAGUAUUUGAGAUCAAGAGAAAGUGCCUCUUCGGUCAACUCUCCCCGCCAAUGACGCUCGUGUUCUCCAUCGGCAUUCUAUCCCUCCUAAAUAGCUAUGUUGGAUGAGGUGUUUGUUAAAUCUCAAAUUGGCUACGUCUAUGAUCACAUAAACUGCACCUCUUCUGCUGAAUGAAGAUGAUUAUCACAUGAUGCUUAGGUUUUUUCCCAAGACAACUGUGGAUGUUUUUGCAUUAGUGCUGGAAUCUGGCGGCAGUAAGCUUUUAUUUCAUAAUGUAUUUCUGUUUACUUGAUAAGAGAUGAUGUAUUCAAUGGUUAGAAACUAAGGAUGAUAAUUUUCUAAAUAUAAGUUACCUAAAAGCAAUAUAAAAAUGAAGUUAUGUUAAUUGUUCUUUCAGAACCAAGGUUUGAAUUUCACUAACAGAGUCCAAAAUAUGUCAAAUGCCUUAGAAGGAUUAGCUUAGUCCAAAAUGAAAUUUUGAUUUACUAUCAAACUUGAUCUUCUGCAAUCUUCUAGUUAAUUUUGAUUACCCCCAAAAAUUACACGUUUCUUUAGUUUUUUUAAUGAUUGCAGUCCUGUCUCAGUAAGAAUCUUGUCAUUGAUUCUAUUUUUGAGGAGGGAAACUCCCAAGAUGGAAGCUUGAUGAUUACGUGCAUGCCUUCUCGCUAUGAUUAACGAGGGAAUGCAGCUUUGCCUUGACGUUUGUGCAAAACUUGCAAAGAUUAUGAGGUCGUGUUUGAAAGAAAUUGCUUCUGAUUCUCAGGAAUAGAAUGCGGGUGCGAAAGUAAAUGUUAGUGCCGGUGGAACAACUCCUUUACACAUUGCAGCUGAUUAUAUUACAAUGCUAUAAUUAAAUUAUCUUUUAGAAAGUAAUAUUAAGAAAUUUGAAGUACCAGAGACCAUAGAACAACGCAUUCUAGAAGCUGCUGUGCCUGGGGAGGCAAUCAGAUUUGCUGUUACAGCAUAUACACUGGGUAAUGCUGAUAGAGAAGCAAAAUCAUAUGAUUCCUCCAUGGUAAAUGUUGGAGAUAAUAGUGGUGGUAUUGCAAACGAGGUGUCAAUACUUUGGCAUGCAAAUUUUGAGGAAUUUAUACGGCAUCUUAGGCAUAAGCGUAUGUUAUCUAUCAAGGGCUUAAAGUUUUCUCAACAAUCUUCUAAAAGGUGUUCUUGCUUCUAUUAUUUUCAUUCAUGGGGCAAAUCACCACUUCUGUGGCAGAACCUGUGUCUCAAGAAGCUUCAACUGAUGAUGAAAUUUUUAUAUACCAGAGCUUGAUCUUUGACGAUGGUCUCAAGGAUUUGAAAAAUCUCAGAUCACAGUUAUACUCAGCUGCCGAGUAUUUUGAACUUUCAUACCCCAAUGAUGACCAAAAAUAAAUAGACAUUAAAGGAUUAUGCGAUUAAAGCUCUUGUGAAUAUUGUGGAUCAUUUAGAUUAUUGGAGGCAUCAACUUGGGUUUGUUGAUUUGAGGUGCUGAGAAUAAAUAUGUUUUUAGGCAUAGAAUCAUUUCAUAUUCUUUUAUUUAUAGGAUCCAGGAUGUCAUAAAAUAUAUGGUUACUAGGAAGUGAAAAAAACUUAGAAAUUCAUGUCGGUCCUUUUUUAAUGCUUCUGUAUACUCUUAAGUUGACGUCCUUCAUUAUUGAUUUAAGUGUUUGUAUCGAUUUAUGUAGAAUAGAAGUUUGCAUUUAGAUGUUAAUCUCAUGAGAAUUUCACAUGUUUA
Arachis ipaensis is the source of this 2057-nucleotide non-coding RNA. Lineage: Eukaryota; Viridiplantae; Streptophyta; Magnoliopsida; Fabales; Fabaceae. The record is from RefSeq and is a predicted model, not a curated record.